AACUCCAACCUAACUCUUGAGGACCAGUUGAUGAGCUAUAAAAUGGGCUAAGAAGCGUAUCUCCCUUGCACAACCUCAACCUCCUGCUGAUUUCCUCUGUGUGCAGCUCAUAGUCUAAGCAGGCUUGUUUCUCUCACUUCCUUUUGAUUCUUGUCCUUGAUUCAUUACUAUCUCGUAUACUAAAUCUUUGGCUCGUUCAAUUAUGGUGCUUUUGUGAUGGAAAGCAGUGAUGAUUCAGAAUCAAUAGUGGCGGAAACUUGUCUUUUGAUGAUCCGGCUGUAGACAAAAAGAGUUCAGUGUGUUCCACCCAAAACGAAAAAGAAAAAGGAGAUCAGUGUGUCAUGUGGAUGAGCAACUCUGUCAUCUUUAAUACUAUUCUGUAGGAUGAACAGCUUGUGACCUUUUAGUGUUUGUUUUGUCCUCUCCAUUUUAUAUAUAUAGGAUGAACAGCUUGUGUUGGAGAAUAAAAGUACUAAUGUUCAAUACUCAAUUGCAUGGGUUUGGUUU
Molecule: long non-coding RNA, 507 nt
Organism: Musa acuminata AAA Group (dessert banana)
Lineage: Eukaryota; Viridiplantae; Streptophyta; Magnoliopsida; Zingiberales; Musaceae
Exons: 2
Source: RefSeq, a predicted model, not a curated record